Molecule: long non-coding RNA, 1755 nt
Filed under: Homo sapiens (human)
Lineage: Eukaryota; Metazoa; Chordata; Mammalia; Primates; Hominidae
Description: HSALNT0378475
Source: RNAcentral
UGUAAAUCCAAAUUCUUCUAGCAUGAAACUCAUGACACUUUUAAGUCCUCAUUUCUCUCCUUCUGCUUAAACUGAGCUCUACUAGGAAAAGCCCCUGGGGAACAUCGGUUCCUGACUUAUUUGGCUUAGUUUGAAAACUGCCAGAUGCCACCCAGGAUACUGCAUUAGGAUCCUGCCAUAAAACUUCACUUUGUGCUGACUCAAUUUCAAAUGAGCCAUGAAGUAUUACAUUCUUGAGAAGUGGAAGAACUUUCACUGGCUUUUCGGCAGCACAUCAGCUGAAGUCAUAGAAGAAACAGCAAAAUAGGUCAUAAUGGAUUCGGGGCUGUGUUUAUAACCUGGACAACAACUGUCACUUUGUGUUUGGGGAAUUGUUCCAGAAUACGAAAACUGAAUGUUAAGGUGUUGAACUGUGAGAGGUUGUCAUAUGAAUAGGCAAGUGAUUUUCUGACCAGAGCACAAAGAAGCUGUGACCAACUAAGACAGCCCUCGUGCCUCACCACGAAUAGAGUUGUUUAAUUGGUGACUGGAUGUUCAAUUGUCCUGAGAUUAGUGACUUCAACAUGAAUUUUGGGGAACAUGUUCAGCACAUAACAUAGAUGAAAGAAGAGUGUCAUGAGCCAAGGAAUGUAGGUGGCCCGAAGAAGCUGGAGAAGGCAAGGAAAUGGAUUUUUCCCUAGAGCCUCCAGAAGGGAAAGCAGCUCUGAUGAUGCCUUAGUUUUAACCCAGUGAAAACCAUGUCAAAUUUCUAACCUACAGAACUAUUAGAAAAUCAAUUUAUGUUGUUUUAAGCCACUAAAUUUGAGAUUUUUUUGUCAUGUUAGUAACAGAAAGCUAAUGGAAUGUCAAAACUUAAGGACCAAAUAAAUACAUCUUGAGACCCUACUCUGUAUCCAUCUAUUAUUAUGGGCAGUAAUCUACCUCAAAAGGCUAGUGUCCAUUUCCACUUGUUCCAUAAAAAACACCCCAAAACACAGUGGCUGAAAAUAUCACUCAUUUAUUUUGGGUCAAAUGUCUUAGUGAGCUGGGAUUAGACUGCUCAAGGGAAGGUAGUUUUGGGGGCUGGUGAGGCUCUACUUCUCCUUACAGGUCUGUGAGUUAGCUGAGGUGGCUUUGCUCCACACAUAUCCUUAAUCUAGGACCAGCUAGCUGCCAGACGUGUUCUUAUCAUAAUGACAGAGACUCAAGAGAACAAGCCUAUAUACCUCUUAAAGUCAAAUCUUAGACUGAAGUACUGUCACUUCCAACCACAUGCCUUUGGCCAAAUAUUGUCACAUGGCCAAGUCCAAAAUCAAAGGGCAGAGAAAUAUACUCUGCUCAUAAUGACACCCAUAAGAACAUGUCAAGAACAUGGAUGCAGAGAGAGGUGAGGAUCUGGAGUCAUAAUGCAUUCUACCAGGGAUGCUGGUCCAGUUGCAGAGAUAACUAAUAAAUAUGAGACAACAAAUGUGACUUGUAUAAUAGAGGGUGAAAGUACUGAUGUACUAGGAAGUAUAAACUAAAAAAGUAUUAUCAUAUUGCCUGUUCUUUUGCUUAUAUCUAAAAUGUAUCUGCUCUGUCUUGCACAUAUAUGGAAAAACAUUUCACCAUGUUCAUAUUAAAAAAAUGGGGAAUAUAACAAGGAAUUUAGUGGUCUUAAAUUGAAAUUGAAUUUAAUACUUGUUUUCAUAAGAGAUCCCAAAUAUUCUUAAAACCAACAAAUAAUAAUCAUACGAAAUAUCUGAAGUUUUGUUUGAAUGGAAGAGAAUAAGCUUG